CCCCUUAUGUCUUGGGCUACACACGUGCUACAAUGGUCGGUACAAACAGUUGCGAUCUCGUAAGAGGGAGCUAAUCUGAAAAAGCCGAUCUCAGUUCGGAUUGAGGGCUGCAACUCGCCCUCAUGAAGCCGGAAUCGCUAGUAAUCGCGAAUCAGCAACGUCGCGGUGAAUACGUUCUCGGGUCUUGUACACACCGCCCGUCACACCAUGAGAGUUGAUAAUACCAGAAGUCGGUAUUCUAACCGCAAGGAGGAAGCCGCCCAAGGUAGGAUUGAUGAUUAGGGUGAAGUCGUAACAAGGUAUCCGUACGAGAACGUGCGGAUGGAUCACCUCCUUUCUAUGGAGUUAAUACUUUAUAGUAAUUAACUAGUUUUAAUGACCGUUAUGUUUAGUUUUCAGAGAUUAGUUUCUCUGACAAUAACAAGUAAAUGUUAUUGGAAUUGUUCUUUGAAAACUGGAUAAUAGACAUCUAGUUAUUUUAAUCACAUGAUUAAAAUAACAAUAAUUCAAAAUUUCUGUUAUUUUUAAAAAAUAACUAAAAUUUCACAGUUAUAUUUGUAAAUGAUUCUCAAAAAACUGAUUUAAAAUCAGGUCAAAUAAUUUAUAAAACUUUGAAGUUACAAAGGGCGUAUGGUGAAUGCCUUGGGAAUAGGAGACGAUGAAGGACGUGACUACCUGCGAUAAGGUUCGGGGAGCUGGAAGUAAGCUUUGAUCCGGACAUGUCCGAAUGGGGAAACCCGGUGAGAUUAAUCUCUCAUCAUCCUAUAAUGAAUAAAUAGUUAUAGUGAAGGUAUACCUAGGGAAUUGAAACAUCUUAGUACCUAGAGGAAAAGAAAGCGAAUGCGAUUCUCUUAGUAGCGGCGAGCGAACGGGGAACAGCCCAAACCAGAUUUAUCUGGGGUUGUAGGACCAUAAUAGUAGAGUUACAAAACUUGUUUAUAGUAGAAAUGGUUGGGAAACCAUGCCGUAGAGGGUGAUAGCCCCGUAUACGAAAUAGACAAGACUCGAAAUGGAAUCCUGAGUACGGCGAGACACGUGAAAUCUUGUCGGAAUCAACGCGGACCACCGCGUAAGGCUAAAUACUACCUAUUCACCGAUAGUGAACCAGUACCGUGAGGGAAAGGUGAAAAGCACCCCGGGAGGGGAGUGAAAUAGUACCUGAAACCAUAUGCCUACAAGAAGUCGGAGCCCGUUAAUGGGUGACGGCGUGCCUUUUGUAGAAUGAGCCGGCGAGUUAUGAUAGCAUGCAAGGUUAAGUAGAAAAUACGGAGCCGUAGUGAAAGCGAGCCUUAAUAGGGCAUUUAGUAUGUUGUCAUAGACCCGAAACCAGGUGAUCUAGCCAUGAGCAGGUUGAAGUUGAGGUAAAACUUAAUGGAGGACCGAACCGACGUUCGUUGAAAAGACCGCGGAUGACUUGUGGCUAGGGGUGAAAUUCCAAUCGAACCUGGAGAUAG
This 1454-nucleotide small RNA is filed under the name Spiroplasma sp. CNR-1. RNAcentral describes it as "bacterial LSU rRNA". The stretch from base 611 to 1454 matches the Rfam family "Bacterial large subunit ribosomal RNA", at positions 1 to 848 of the family's 2925-position model. Lineage: Bacteria; Bacillati; Mycoplasmatota; Mollicutes; Entomoplasmatales; Spiroplasmataceae. The record is from RNAcentral.